UGGGCAGAACUCUCUUUCCUCUCCUGUUUCCUUUUUUGGGUUGUAAUGCUCUAUUUCUCUCUGGAUAUAUUGUUUGGAGACCAUCAGGCAUGUGUUUGAUGCGUGACGCAAAUGUCAUAUGGUGUUGUUAACGUCACACAGUUGACAAAAGAAGACGAGGAAAAGGAUCCCAGCAGAUGGUUUGGUAUUACAUUUCAUACUACACACAGUCCAUUCCUGACGGCCCAAAGCAAACAGCAGUCACUCUGUCAGUGAAAAAGAUGCAAGUUUUUCUCUUGUCUCAAGUGAGAAUUCCCCAUAUGGCUAUUUUACAGUCCUUACUCACUUCUCAGGAAAUUUGCUUUUUCUUGGUUCUCUUUUUUUCUCCUCAAACAUACUGAUGGUCCCAAGGCUUAGGGACAAUAAUUGUUGCUCCUUUUCAACAUAAAGGUCAGGAUCCUUUGUUACAAAGCAGGUUUUGUGGCCCAGAGAAAGCUGGGCAGACAUGAUCUCUGCUAAAGAGCAGAGGAAAAUAAUUCGCUCCCUGGUUGUCACGUUUGGCCAAUUUGAGUGAGAAAAGGGGGCUUGUGGGUGUAAGAGCAUAUGAAACCACACAAUUAUGGUCUCUCACUUUUCUUUUUAUAGGCAGGCAAAAGAGACCCCAAUAUGUCAGACAGCGCUGGACCUUGAAGGGAAGGGUAAAACAGGUUAGGAAAAGUGUAAAGCAAUCCUGUCCCUCCAUUCCUAGGACCAAAGACUUGAUGAUCAAAACAGACCCUGCCAGGAAAUGUUACAAAAAUAAAAGGCGCCUGCGCGAGCACACACGUGACUUCCCUCGGGUAUGAGGAACUCCUUAUCGCGUUCUUCCUUCGGACAGCUGCCUCCUGGUCGAGUCUUGGAUAUUGAAUACAGUUCCCUGUGCUAUAUGGAAGGAGGGUCCGCCUGCCAGGACAGCACCUGAGGACGGUGGGGAGUGGGGUAGCUUCUGCAGAUGUGCGCCCACAGGGCUAGCUGAGGAGAUGCCUCCCCGGAGACAGCAGGGAUGGAGAGCUGCAGAGACAAAGCCACCACCUGGCAGCUGGGAGGCAGCUGGCCGCGCAUGCUCUGGCUUCAGUGGGAGUGACAAGGCUUGAGGAAAUGUUGGCUGAAGGAAGCAAACAGAACCCCACAGAGCCCUACAAGACCAAGUCCCCGACUUUCCCUUUGCACUUCUCUGUGCCGGGGUCUGAGUCUUAACAGGGAUGAACAGGGCCCAGCUGGAGGAACGAAAUGCACCCUGCGACCCUGGAAGAUGGAAACUAGCAUAAACCAAGGGCUUUACCCCAGCGGGAGAGUCUAGGGUAAGAUGACUUUCUUUACUCGGAACCAGAUGAUUUAGCACAACGACAAAAGAGAAGUCUCCUUUUCCUUCUGAAAAGAACCGAAUACAUAAGAAAAAAAACACCUACUGUGGAAUUCUGUCAAAUAAUGGCAGAUGUCCCUGUUAUGUUGGCACCUGCCUUGCAAGAGCUCACUGUAACGAUCAAAAGGCAAGG
This is a long non-coding RNA of Balaenoptera musculus (blue whale), 1514 nucleotides long. RefSeq lists it as uncharacterized. NCBI's taxonomy places the organism in Eukaryota, Metazoa, Chordata, Mammalia, Artiodactyla, Balaenopteridae. The transcript is spliced from 5 exons. The record is from RefSeq and is a predicted model, not a curated record.